This is a non-coding RNA of Pelobates cultripes (western spadefoot toad), 351 nucleotides long. Lineage: Eukaryota; Metazoa; Chordata; Amphibia; Anura; Pelobatidae. The record is from the annotation of a GenBank genome assembly.
CUCAGGAUGUGUAUAAGGAUAACGCAGUAAAGGAAUUGAAGAAUGCUCGGGAUGUGUAUAAGGCUAAUGCAGUAAAGGAAUUAAAGAAUGCUCAGGAUGUGUAUAAGGCUAACACAGUAAAGGAAUUGAAGAAUGCUCGGGAUGUGUAUAAGGCUAACACAGUAAAGGAAUUAAAGAAUGCUCGGGAUGUGUAUAAGGCUAACACAGUAAAGGAAUUGAAGAAUGCUCAGGAUGUGUAUAAGGCUAAUACAGUAAAGGAAUUGAAGAAUGCUCAGGGUGUGUAUAAGGAUAACGCAGUAAAGGAACUGAAGAAUGCUCAGGAUGUGUAUAAGGCUAACACGGUAAAGGAAC